AUGACCAAAUACAGUGCACACCUUAUUAAUAAAACACACAUACAGACAACAGCCCAAAAUAUGAACAUAUUGCUACCUUAAAAAGCAUUCGGGUAAACAACUUCUGGUUUAUGGUAUGUUCCGAAAUGCAUGAUCAACUUGGAUCACAUGUGCAUUAAUAACAAAUCACAUUACAGCUUUGACGUCAUUGAACUGCCGUAAGCUGAAUUUGACCUGUCGCAAAGGUCGCAGAGUACAUUGCAAAUGUUAGAAACGGCAGAUAUCUGAAAGCGUGCAAGAUGUUCAGCUUGCCUCGCUGAACGUGCUAAACAAGAGCGGCAGCUUCCCAAUCUUCCACAACUUGCGCAGCUUCACCAUCCGUCACUGUGCUGCCGUCGUUAGCAGCGACCAAGGAUUAGUCCACACGAUUUUGUGAAAGGGGCUGAAUUAACGAGGCGACGCGGUAUCUGGCCAGGUAAGCGUUGAUGCAGGAAUCGGUCACCGUCAGCGAAUGUUCCUGCUGGUCAGCGGUGAGAACUAUCGUUCCUCCGUAUGUUAAGCCGUAGACCGAUGACCGCUGCAGCAGGUUGCAGGCAUCACACCUGUGAGUAAUGAAGUUGGCAGAAAUUUGAUUUUGAAGACCGUGGCACCUCGGACAACGAUGUCUGGCUCGGAUUUGAACCCCGGAGACCACACCGCGCAAAGACGUAGAAGCAGCGCCGUCAUCGGGAUCAUCCCUGCCCUCAUCAGGUUGGAAAAGCAGUAGGAUUUGGAGACGUCGACCUGGGAUAUUAGGCUAUCCCACAAGGUAAGCUUGAUUUCCCCCGUAGUGUCAGCGACCCAUAUCUCCUUCAGCUCACAUUCCUCCCGGUUAACCAAGACGAUUUUACUAAGUGCAGCACGGGACAGGACCUUAGCUUCCAGCUCGCCUACCUCGCUUUGACGGCCGCUACAUCCAUCCUCCUGCUGCCCGAAGGUGCUAUCCGGGAGAACGGUACGGUCACUACGUCAAGGCUUGUUGUUUUAGAACAGAUCACGUCGAAUCCGUCUGGAUCGGAG
Long non-coding RNA from Carassius gibelio (silver crucian carp), 1038 nucleotides. RefSeq lists it as uncharacterized. NCBI's taxonomy places the organism in Eukaryota, Metazoa, Chordata, Actinopteri, Cypriniformes, Cyprinidae. The record is from RefSeq and is a predicted model, not a curated record. The transcript is spliced from 5 exons.